CACAGCAAAAACAAAAUAAAUCCCAACUGGAAAAACAAACCCCUAGCAGAGAGAAGUUGAGCCACACUAUAAAUAUAGUUGAACUUAUGCUAAAACUAGUAACAAGAAACACUCUCUUUCAGCAUAACCAUGACCCAGUAAUAGAAAAACUACUGGCUAUUAACAGACCACAACAGGUACAACAACACAAGGAAAAAGCUGUUUAUCACCACUGUCAAACCAACACUGGCAUGCUACAAAGAAAGAUUAAAAACCAUACAAGGAACUCAGCAAACCCUGUCCCAACUGUUUACCAAAAACAUAGCCUUUAGCAAAACCAGUAUUAAAGGUACUGCCUGCCCAGUGAAUUUUUUAACGGCCGCGGUAUUCUAACCGUGCAAAGGUAGCGUAAUCACUUGUCUCUUAAAUAGAGACUUGUAUGAAUGGCUAAAUGAGGACAGACCUGUCUCCUAUGGCCAAUCAGUGAAACUGAUCUCUCAGUCCAAAAGCUGAAAUAACCACAUAAGACGAGAAGACCCUGUGGAGCUUUAAACCAACUGCUAAUAAAUUAUACUAGUAGAAGGCUUUAAGUUGGGGCGACUUCGGAACAAAACAAAACUUCCGAGCACAGAACCACACUAUUCUUAUUAAGGCCAACAAGCCAAGACACACAAACGACCCAGUCAAACUGAUCUUCGAACCAAGUUACCCCAGGGAUAACAGCGCAAUCUUCUUCAAGAGUUCAUAUCGACAAGAAGGCUUACGACCUCGAUGUUGGAUCAGGACACCCAAAUGGUGUAGCCGCUAUUAAAGGUUCGUUUGUUCAACGAUUAACAGU
Molecule: ribosomal RNA, 817 nt
Filed under: Lygosoma koratense
Lineage: Eukaryota; Metazoa; Chordata; Lepidosauria; Squamata; Scincidae
Description: partial 16S rRNA
Rfam family: Bacterial large subunit ribosomal RNA
Source: RNAcentral